RNAcentral lists this ribosomal RNA (386 nucleotides) under uncultured bacterium. RNAcentral's name for it is "bacterial SSU rRNA". It matches the Rfam family "Bacterial small subunit ribosomal RNA", at positions 29 to 416 of the family's 1533-position model. The record is from RNAcentral.
AUUGAACGCUGGCGGCAUGCCUUACACAUGCAAGUCGAACGGCAGCGCGGGAGCAAUCCUGGCGGCGAGUGGCGAACGGGUGAGUAAUAUAUCGGAACGUGCCCAGUAGUGGGGGAUAGCCCGGCGAAAGCCGGAUUAAUACCGCAUGAGACCUGAGGGUGAAAGCGGGGGAUCGCAAGACCUCGCGCUAUUGGAGCGGCCGAUAUCAGAUUAGCUAGUUGGUGGGGUAAAGGCCUACCAAGGCAACGAUCCGUAGCGGGUCUGAGAGGAUGAUCCGCCACACUGGGACUGAGACACGGCCCAGACUCCUACGGGAGGCAGCAGUGGGGAAUUUUGGACAAUGGGCGCAAGCCUGAUCCAGCCAUGCCGCGUGAGUGAAGAAGGCC